AAAGCUUGCUUUCUUUGCUGGCGACGGCGCACGGGUGAGUAACACGUAUCCAACCUGCCCUUACUCGGGAUAGACCUUUCGAAAGAAAGAUUAAUACCCGAUGGCAUAAUGAUUCCGCAUGGUUUCAUUAUUAAAGGAUUCCGGUAAAGGAUGGGGAUGCGUUCCAUUAGGUUGUUGGUGAGGUAACGGCUCACCAAGCCUUCGAUGGAUAGGGGUUCUGAGAGGAAGGUCCCCCACAUUGGAACUGAGACACGGUCCAAACUCCUACGGGAGGCAGCAGUGAGGAAUAUUGGUCAAUGGGCGCUAGCCUGAACCAGCCAAGUAGCGUGAAGGAUGAAGGCUCUAUGGGUCGUAAACUUCUUUUAUAUAAGAAUAAAGUGCAGUAUGUAUACUGUUUUGUAUGUAUUAUAUGAAUAAAAGGAUCGGCUAACUCCGUGCC
RNAcentral lists this ribosomal RNA (439 nucleotides) under uncultured Bacteroidota bacterium. RNAcentral's name for it is "bacterial SSU rRNA". It matches the Rfam family "Bacterial small subunit ribosomal RNA", at positions 75 to 509 of the family's 1533-position model. The record is from RNAcentral. Lineage: Bacteria; Pseudomonadati; Bacteroidota.